RNAcentral lists this ribosomal RNA (337 nucleotides) under Tautonia sociabilis. RNAcentral describes it as "Isosphaeraceae bacterium GM2012 partial 23S ribosomal RNA". It matches the Rfam family "Bacterial large subunit ribosomal RNA", at positions 325 to 653 of the family's 2925-position model. The record is from RNAcentral. Lineage: Bacteria; Pseudomonadati; Planctomycetota; Planctomycetia; Isosphaerales; Isosphaeraceae.
CGAUUCAACCGAAGCCGCCUGGAACGGCGCACCGCAGGGGGUGAAAGUCCCGUAGGUGACGGAUUCUGUCCUCCGAGAGUGGUACCCGAGUAGGGUCGGGCACGUGAAACCCGGCCCGAAUCGGCGGGGACCAUCCCGCAAGGCUAAGUACCGGGCGACGACCGAUAGUGAACCCAGUAGGGCGACCGAAUGGUGGGAAGAACCCCGACAAGGGGAGGACACUGAACCUGAAACCCCGUGCCUACAAGCGGUGGGAGGGCGACGAGCACUGCUCCGCCUGACCGCGUGCCUUUUGCAUAAUGAUCCGGCGAGUUCUGGUAUCCGGCCGGUUAACCCC